RNAcentral lists this ribosomal RNA (544 nucleotides) under uncultured eukaryote. Its description in RNAcentral is "bacterial SSU rRNA". It matches the Rfam family "Eukaryotic small subunit ribosomal RNA", at positions 21 to 570 of the family's 1831-position model. The record is from RNAcentral.
UGUAGUCAUAUGCUUGUCUCAAGGAUUAAGCCAUGCACGUCUAAGAUCGCUAGGAGAGGGGUUAAACCCUCUUAACAACAAUCUGCGAAAGGCUCAUUAUAACAGUUACAAACUUGGCUACUAGAUAACAAAAGGAUACCAGUGCCAACGGUCAUGAUAAUACUUGGAAACAAAGUACAAUGAAAGUUGUAUGUGCGAUAAUAUCAAGGGAAAAUGUAUUAUUUUUUCUUCCUUCGGGAAGAAGUGGACCACUACGCAGUGGCCUAGAAGAGGUAUUUCUUCCCUAUCAGCUUGUAGGUACAGUAAAGGUGUACCAAGGCGAUUACGGGUACGGGGAAUCAGUGUUCGAUUCCGGAGAGGGAGCCUGAGAAACGGCUACUACAUCUAAGGAUGGCAGCAGGCGCGAAAAUUACCCAAUCCUAACAUUUUUGGGAGGUAGUGACAAGAAAUAACGACCUUACACUAAAUUGUGGAAGGGAAUUUUGCAAUGGUUUUAGUUUAAAUCUCUAGAAGAGUAUCGAUUGGAGGGCAAGUCUGGUAAUCG